CCUGUGUUCGUGCCGGCUUGGUCGAGGGACCCGGUGAGGUGUGGGAAGGCGGCGUUUGGAGCCUGCAUUCGUGGAGCGAUGAUCUGCUGUGCCGAUCCGGGUGGUUACAGUGAUGAGAUCGGGUGUAUCAUAGAACAGGCCAGAAAGCAUGGAUACACGGAAGGAUUGAUGGGAACUAUUGAGAGGAGAUUGAGGGCAUCCAUGGAUGGCCUCGGGGCGGAGCGGGGGGAGCGGCCCCUUGGGCGGACUGGGGGCGGCACUCAGAGUGGCUGCAUCGCAGUGCCGUGUGGCGUGCGGAGCUGCCCCGUAAUCGGGGAGGUGGCUGGACGACGGAAGAAGGGAGUAGCGAUGGCACGGAAUCCUGCUGUUUUUGCC
RNAcentral lists this long non-coding RNA (375 nucleotides) under Androctonus crassicauda. Lineage: Eukaryota; Metazoa; Arthropoda; Arachnida; Scorpiones; Buthidae. The record is from RNAcentral.